RNAcentral lists this ribosomal RNA (423 nucleotides) under uncultured bacterium. Its description in RNAcentral is "bacterial SSU rRNA". It matches the Rfam family "Bacterial small subunit ribosomal RNA", at positions 917 to 1344 of the family's 1533-position model. The record is from RNAcentral.
GGGCCCGCACAAGCGGUGGAGCAUGUGGUUUAAUUCGAUGAUACGCGAGGAACCUUACCAGGGUUUAAAUGCAGAACGACAGGGGUGGAAACACCCCCUUCUUCGGACGGACUGCAAGGUGCUGCAUGGUUGUCGUCAGCUCGUGCUGUGAAGUGUCGGGUUAAGUCCCAUAACGAGCGCAACCCCCAUUUCUAGUUGCCAGCGGUUCGGCCGGGGACUCUAGAGAAACUGCCAGCGUAAGCUGUGAGGAAGGUGGGGAUGACGUCAAAUCAUCACGGCCCUUACAUCCUGGGCCACACACGUGCUACAAUGGUAGGGACAACAGGUUGCCAACCCGCGAGGGUGAGCCAAUCCCAAAAAGCUAUCUCAGUUCGGAUUGUCGUCUGCAACUCGACGGCAUGAAGUCGGAAUCGCUAGUAAUCG